This 78-nucleotide transfer RNA is filed under the name Marmota monax (woodchuck). RNAcentral describes it as "tRNA.Val". The record is from RNAcentral. Lineage: Eukaryota; Metazoa; Chordata; Mammalia; Rodentia; Sciuridae.
GCUGUAGCUUAGUGGCAAGAGCUUUUGCCUAACACAUGUAGCACGUAUGAGGCCCUGGGUUCGAUCCUUAGCACUGCA